RNAcentral lists this ribosomal RNA (301 nucleotides) under uncultured bacterium. Its description in RNAcentral is "partial 16S ribosomal RNA". It matches the Rfam family "Bacterial small subunit ribosomal RNA", at positions 509 to 809 of the family's 1533-position model. The record is from RNAcentral.
CAGCCGCCGCGGGAAAACGUAGGUGGCAAGCGUUGUCCGGAUUUAUUGGGCGUAAAGCGAGCGCAGGCGGUUUCUUAAGUCUGAUGUGAAAGCCCCCGGCUCAACCGGGGAGGGUCAUUGGAAACUGGGAGACUUGAGUGCAGAAGAGGAGAGUGGAAUUCCAUGUGUAGCGGUGAAAUGCGUAGAUAUAUGGAGGAACACCAGUGGCGAAGGCGGCUCUCUGGUCUGUAACUGACGCUGAGGCUCGAAAGCGUGGGGAGCAAACAGGAUUAGAUACCCCUGUAGUCCCUGUCUCUUAUAA